CUUUAAUUCCAUUUUCAUUAUAAAUUUGUUAGUAAUAUGAAUGAAAAAAUAAUAUUGUCAUUUAUUUUACAUUAAAAUAUAUAUUUUACCGGUUUAUAUUUGUGUUUUCAUAUCAUCUGUAUUAUUUUUAUCUCUUUAAAUUUUUUUUGGAUAAUGGUCUCUUUAACUUUACUAAAAAGAAUAUCAGUAUAAUUAUAUUCUAUCGUUUGGCUCAUUUCACUUGGUGAGAGCUAUCUAAAAUGUGGAAAACAGUGCUUUUCUGGUCCCCCACAUACAUAUUUUUUUGUUAUGCUGGUGUCUGUAAUUGUUAGGGAGUCACUGAAGGUGAAGGGAAAGUGUUCAUUCACAAAUGACCAGGAAUGAGUCUUGAGCUUUGUAAAAUCCCUGUAUUUGAUUACCCUUAAAUGAGAGACUCAUUAUUGAAAUUCUAUGAAGUUUGUUUUUGUUCUUUGAACACAAAAAUUUCCAACCUUUUGUCUUGUUUUUUUUCAUCACAUCUCAAUCAUCCAUGGCAUUGUCUUAAUGCUUUUCUGUUUUCAGUUCCCUAGCACAUUGACAUGCUUACUUGUUAGCUGUAAGUUUGGCUUGGUUUGGUUUUAAGUUUAGUGCUUAAAAGGUUUUGAUGCAGAAAGGUUGGCUCAUCGACCGGAUAGAGUACAUGAGGAUCAGUGGCGGGCCUUGGUCUACUAUUGGGGCACUCAGAGUGCAUCGAAAUCAAGCAAGAAGAAUAGAAAAAUCCGGAAGAAGAAGACACUACAUCAUAGAACUGGCCGAAAGCCUUUCUCAGUAGUUCGAGUGGAGGUAUAAUUAGACAUUACAUCCCAAGAGGUUUACCUUUCAAAGAAAGAGAA
Non-coding RNA from Camellia sinensis, 851 nucleotides. The record is from RefSeq and is a predicted model, not a curated record. Lineage: Eukaryota; Viridiplantae; Streptophyta; Magnoliopsida; Ericales; Theaceae.